CAUGUAGGUGUGGAAACGAUGCUCAUGGGGCAGUCGAGGUACUUGGAUGUCCUCGCAGAACUGUGCUUUGCCUGGAGUCGCGAGAAUGCAUGUGGUUUUGAGGCUGUUUUGGGUGGUUUAGUGAUGUUUUGUGAGGUUUUAAGGUUGUUUUGGGUGGUUUAACUUAUGUUUUGUGAGGUUUUGAGGUUGUUUUGGGUGGUUUAGUGAUGUUUUGUGAUGUUUUGAGGUUUUGGGUGGUUUAGUGAUGUUUUGUGAGGUUUUGAGGUUGUUUUGGGUGGUUUAGUGAUGUUUUGUGAGGUUUUAAGGUUGUUUUGGGUGGUUUAGUGAUGUUUUGUGAGGUUUUGAGGUUGUUUUGGGUGGUUUAUUUUGAGGUUGUUUUGGGUGGUUUAGUUGAUAUAUUUUGUUAGGUUUUGAGGUUGUUUUGGGGUGGUUUAGUGAUGUUUUGAGAGGUUUUAAGGUUGUUUUGGGUGGUUUAGUGAUGUUUUGUGAGGUUUUGAGGUUGUUUUGGGUGGUUUAGUGAUGUUUUGUGAGGUUUUGAGACUGUUUUGGGUGGUUUAGUGAUGUUUUGUGAGGUUUUGAAGUUGUUUUUUGGUGGUUUAGUUGAUAUGUUUGAUUUUGUUUUUCGUGAAGAAGAGAAGAAAACGAGGAAGAGGAAUUCAGAACAAAAAGAAGAUUUGUGAUGAGAAAAAGAAGAAAAAGGAAGUAAGAAAAAGACGUAUUAGUAUGAUAUGUGUUUUUUUCUUAUCUUCGUGUGUGUUGAUAUAUUAAUAGACCACAAAUGGAAGAGAAGAAAACAAUUAAGGAAAAGGAAUUCAGAGCAGUAAGUAAAAACGGAUAAAAGGAAAAUUUGAGAUGAGAAAAAGAAGAAAAGGAAGUAAUUAAGAAAAAGACGUAUUAGUAUUAUUAUUAUUUUUUUAAUCUUCAAAUGUGUAGAUAUUUUAAUCGGCCACCAAUGGAAGAGAAGAAAACAAGGAAGAGGAAGGAAAUAACAGAGAAAGUAAACCCAAUAAAAGGUCAAUAAGGAUAGAACAAAAGAAAAAUGGAAAAAAAGAAAAAAGGUCAGGACAACGAAGAAAAGAAGACAAGGAAUAAGGAAGGAUCGAGGGAAAACAAGAAAAAAGGAAGAAGGGAAAACAGAAUAAAACGAAGAGAAAACAAAGAUCGAAAAAGACGGAGGGAAAAUGGAGAAAAGAAAACAAGAAAGAGGAAAGAAAACCAUGAGGAGAAAGAAAAGAAAACAAGAAAAAGGAAAACCGGGAGGAGAAAGAAAAGAAAACAAGAAAGAGGAAAACCCGGGAGGCGAAAGAAAACAAAACUAAGAAAAGGGAAAGAAAACCAGGCGGAGAAAGAAAAGAAAACAAGAAAAAGGAAAAAAAAACAAGAGAAACUAAAGAAAACAAAAAAAAAGGAAAUAAA
Eriocheir sinensis (Chinese mitten crab) is the source of this 1416-nucleotide long non-coding RNA. RefSeq lists it as uncharacterized. The record is from RefSeq and is a predicted model, not a curated record. The transcript is spliced from 4 exons. NCBI's taxonomy places the organism in Eukaryota, Metazoa, Arthropoda, Malacostraca, Decapoda, Varunidae.